Molecule: ribosomal RNA, 465 nt
Filed under: uncultured bacterium
Lineage: Bacteria
Description: partial 16S ribosomal RNA
Rfam family: Bacterial small subunit ribosomal RNA
Source: RNAcentral
GACGAACGCUGGCGGCGUGCUUAACACAUGCAAGUCGAACGGAAAGGCCCCUUUGGGGGUCCUCGAGUGGCGAACGGGUGAGUAACACGUGAGUAACCUUCCCUUGCCUUCGGGAUAACUUCAGGAAACUGGGGCUAAUACCGGAUAGGAAUCCUUGCUGCAUGGUGGGGGUUGGAAAGCUUCGGCGGUUUUGGAUGGACUCGCGGCUUAUCAGCUUGUUGGUGGGGUAGUGGCUUACCAAGGCGUUGACGGGUAGCCGGCCUGAGAGGGCGACCGGCCACAUUGGGACUGAGAUACGGCCCAGACUCCUACGGGAGGCAGCAGUGGGGAAUAUUGCACAAUGGGCGGAAGCCUGAUGCAGCAACGCCGCGUGCGGGAUGACGGCCUUCGGGUUGUAAACCGCUUUCAGCAGGGGCGAAGCUUGUGGUGACGGUACCUGCAGAAGAAGCACCGGCUAACUACGUG